GACGAACGCUGGCGGCAUGCCUAAUACAUGCAAGUCGAACGCCAAAUCUUCCUGCUUGCAGGAAGAGGCGGAGUGGCGAACGGGUGAGUAACACGUGAGGAACUUGCCCAUAAGAGGGGGAUAACACCCGGAAACGGGUGCUAAUACCGCAUAGGUUUUCCCAGCGCAUGCUGGAAAAUAAAAGGUGGCUCUGCUACCGCUUAUGGAUAGCCUCGCGGCGCAUUAGCUAGUUGGUAGGGUAAAGGCCUACCAAGGCCAUGAUGCGUAGCCGACUUGAGAGGGUGAUCGGCCACACUGGAACUGAGACACGGUCCAGACUCGUACGGGAGGCAGCAGUAGGGAAUCUUCCACAAUGGGUGCAAGCCUGAUGGAGCAAUGCCGCGUGAGUGAAGAAGGACUUCGGUUCGUAAAGCUCUGUUGUCGGGGAAGAACACGGAUAGGAGUCACUGCCUAUCCCUUGACGGUACCCAACCAGAAAGUCACGGCUAACUACGUGCCAGCAGCCGCGGUAAUACGUAGGUGACAAGCGUUGUCCGGAUUUAUUGGGCGUAAAGCGAGCGCAGGCGGUCCGGUAAGUCUGAUGUGAAAGCCCACGGCUCAACCGUGGAACGGCAUUGGAAACUGGCGGACUUGAAUGUAGCAGAGGAAAGUGGAAUUCCAUGUGUAGCGGUGGAAUGCGUAGAUAUAUGGAGGAACACCAGUGGCGAAAGCGACUUUCUGGGCUAUGAUUGACGCUGAGGCUCGAAAGCGUGGGGAGCGAACAGGAUUCGAUAC
Molecule: ribosomal RNA, 774 nt
Filed under: uncultured Alloiococcus sp.
Lineage: Bacteria; Bacillati; Bacillota; Bacilli; Lactobacillales; Carnobacteriaceae
Description: bacterial SSU rRNA
Rfam family: Bacterial small subunit ribosomal RNA
Source: RNAcentral